AUCACUUGUGAUGAUCAAAACAAUACUUUCAUUAUUAGGAGAUUUUAGAUGUGAAAAAACUUUGAAGACCUAAACUUAAGAGAU
Small nucleolar RNA from Cryptomeria japonica (Japanese cedar), 84 nucleotides. RefSeq annotates it as small nucleolar RNA Z159/U59. The record is from RefSeq and is a predicted model, not a curated record. Lineage: Eukaryota; Viridiplantae; Streptophyta; Pinopsida; Cupressales; Cupressaceae. The transcript has a single exon.